Caenorhabditis elegans is the source of this 126-nucleotide non-coding RNA. NCBI's taxonomy places the organism in Eukaryota, Metazoa, Nematoda, Chromadorea, Rhabditida, Rhabditidae. The record is from Ensembl.
CCGCGCACGCAAGAAGAGCAUUGUUUACCCACAAUUUUUGCCAUCAUCUUGCCAUUGUAGACAACCGGAUUGACGCCCAGGGAGGGGGGGGGGGGGAAGGGAGGGAUCACCUCACGUGGAAAAAAG